GUGAACGCUGGCGGUAGGCCUAACCCAUGCAAGUCGCACGGCAGCACAGUAAGAGCUUGCUCUUACGGGUGGCGAGUGGCGGACGGGUGAGGAAUACAUCGGAAUCUACUUUUUCGUGGGGGAUAACGUAGGGAAACUUACGCUAAUACCGCAUACGACCUACGGGUGAAAGCAGGGGAUCUUCGGACCUUGCGCGAUUGAAUGAGCCGAUGUCGGAUUAGCUAGUUGGCGGGGUAAAGGCCCACCAAGGCGACGAUCCGUAGCUGGUCUGAGAGGAUGAUCAGCCACACUGGAACUGAGACACGGUCCAGACUCCUGCGGGAGGCAGCAGUGGGGAAUAUUGGACAAUGGGCGCAAGCCUGAUCCAGCCAUACCGCGUGGGUGAAGAAGGCCUUCGGGUUGUAAAGCCCUUUUGUUGGGAAAGAAAAGCAGCAGGUUAAUACCCCGCUGUUCUGACGGUACCCAAAGAAUAAGCACCGGCUAACUUCGUG
RNAcentral lists this ribosomal RNA (491 nucleotides) under uncultured bacterium. Its description in RNAcentral is "partial 16S ribosomal RNA". It matches the Rfam family "Bacterial small subunit ribosomal RNA", at positions 29 to 507 of the family's 1533-position model. The record is from RNAcentral.